CUGCCACGAUCCACUGAGAUUCAGC
Molecule: non-coding RNA, 25 nt
Filed under: Arabidopsis thaliana (thale cress)
Lineage: Eukaryota; Viridiplantae; Streptophyta; Magnoliopsida; Brassicales; Brassicaceae
Also listed under: 1 other name
Source: RNAcentral